AUGGAUAUGCAUCGUGUGCUCGGGAGGCACGUCGCCGUCGACAAGAAAUCUGUAUGGGAAAGCGACCUGUUGACUGUACUCAGGGUUGGUUUACACUUAGGUGUAUAUUCGUUUACUUCCUCCAAUGGUGUACCAUCACUUCCAAUUUCUGAUUCUCAUUUUGGCCAAUUGAAUGACAGUGAUGGUGUUGAGAUUGGUGUCCAGGUGGUUGAGACAGUUGGUUGUGAGUUUGUUGACACUUCUGUUGAUGUGCCAUCUGAAAAUUCAACUCUUCAUGACCAUCAGUUUGGCGAUGAGUUGAUAGUUGUUCCUCCACGUGUUGUCCCAUUGUUGAGCAUGGGUCCUCAUGACAGGCCAAUCCCUUUAGUUCGACUGAUGCAGCCACCUUUUCCUAAGGAGUAUAUUCGUUUACUUAAACUUGUUUCACGGGGGAGGUCUUAUUAUGGCGCACCAGGUUUUACCUGUCGGAAAUGUGGGGCAUUUUAUUGGUUUCAUGAAGGGUCCACACGUCAUAAGGAUGCUAAUCCCCUACAACCUAUUUAUACCGGUUGUUGCCUUGAUGGCAAGAUUUCUUUGCCAAAGUUUGCUGAUUGGCCCUGCCCGUUGAAGGAUUUACUUCGUUUCAAUGGUGGCCCUGUUUGUGCCUGUUUCAUGCGCUUGAUUAGAGAUUAUAAUUCUAUGUUUUGUUUCACAUCUCUUGGUGCUCAAAUUGAUCACAAUGUUAACGCUGGGGGUAGUCCAUACAUAUUUAAAAUGAACGGGGUCGUUUAUCACAUAAUUGGUCCUCUUCUUCCUUCUGAAGAUGAAAACCCUAAGUUUGCACAACUAUAUAUUGUUGAUUCAGCUGAUGAAGUCAAAAGUAGAAUUAAUGUGUUUGAUCGUGAAGGCGAUAGUUCUCUUGAGCCUGAUCCAGAAAUAGUAGCCAGCCUCAUCGAUAUGUUGAAUAGGCAUCAUCAUUUGGUACACAAAUAUAGAAUUGCUCGCCAAAAUUUUUCUUCUCCUGAUGGGCCAAAGGUUUCUAUCCGCUUCUUAGGAAAUGAUGGCAGGCCCCAUGACACGCGUUUUUAUGGUCCAAUGGCUUGUGAGGUGGCUGUUGUGAUUGUUGGUGAUCUUACUCCUGAUCGCAAGAAAUGUGAUGUGGUUGUAGAGACACAUGCUGGUAUGUUGGAGCACGUAUAUUCUCCCAAUUCUAACCUUAUGGCUCUACAAUACCCCUCGGUUUUUCCAUAUGGGGAUAAAAGUUACCAUUUGGGUAUUAAAUAUGUCUACAAUGAUGAUGAUUUUUCCAGUCUGAAUGCACGUGGUGUUCUGUUUGAGGAGACACCUGAUACUGGUGCUAUUGUGCCUCGGCGUUCUAAAGUGCCACAGAGCCAAGUUUGUAUGUUGGAGUAUUAUGGUUACUAUUUUCAUUACCGUGAGGGGGAACCAAAUCCUUACACCAGUUGUGGGCGACUUAGUCAACAGGUGGCUGUCAAUGCUUAUUCUUGUGUUGAGUCAGACCGUUUGGAGUACCAUUUUUGGAAUCAGGAUAAUUUACGAUCCGAGACUUACCAGGGAAUAUCUGAUGCAAUUGGAGAAGGUAGUUCUACUGGAAAGAAUGUUGGUGUGCAAUUUAUAAUACAUGGAAGUUUCACUGGUGGGCGUCGGUAUAUGGUUUUGAAUUAUCAUGAUGGAAUGGCUAUUUGUCAUGAAUAUGGUGCUCCAGAUUUAUUCAUCACUUUCACAUGUAAUCCAAAGUGGCAAGAAAUUAUUGAUGCUCUUGCUUCCGAGCCUGGAUAG
This 1779-nucleotide ribosomal RNA is filed under the name Triticum aestivum (bread wheat). RNAcentral's name for it is "partial small subunit ribosomal RNA". Lineage: Eukaryota; Viridiplantae; Streptophyta; Magnoliopsida; Poales; Poaceae. The record is from RNAcentral.